UACGUAGGGUGCAAGCGUUUAAUCGGAAUUACUGGGCGUAAAGCGUGCGCAGGCGGUCCGUUAAGACAGAUGUGAAAUCCCCGGGCUUAACCUGGGAACUGCAUUUGUGUACUAGGCGGACUCGAGUAUGGCAGAGGGGGGGUAGAAAGUUCCACGUGUAGCAGUGAAAUGCGUAGAGAUGUGGAGGAAUACCGAUGGCGAAGGCAGCCCCCUGGGCCAAUCUGACGCUCAUGCA
RNAcentral lists this ribosomal RNA (235 nucleotides) under uncultured bacterium. Its description in RNAcentral is "partial 16S ribosomal RNA". It matches the Rfam family "Bacterial small subunit ribosomal RNA", at positions 524 to 753 of the family's 1533-position model. The record is from RNAcentral.